UACGAAGGGGGCUAGCGUUGUUCGGAAUUACUGGGCGUAAAGCGCGUGUAGGUGGUGUUGCAAGUCAGAGGUGAAAUCCUGAGGCUUAACCUCAGAACUGCCUUUGAAACUGCAACGCUAGCAUCCGAGAGAGGAUAGUGGAAUUCCCAAUGUAGGGGUGAAAUCCGUAGAGAUUGGGAGGAACACCAGUGGCGAAGGCGGCUAUCUGGCUCGGUAUGGACACUGAGACGCGAAAGCGUGGGGAUCAAACAGG
This 253-nucleotide ribosomal RNA is filed under the name uncultured bacterium. RNAcentral's name for it is "partial 16S ribosomal RNA". It matches the Rfam family "Bacterial small subunit ribosomal RNA", at positions 524 to 776 of the family's 1533-position model. The record is from RNAcentral.